Molecule: ribosomal RNA, 448 nt
Filed under: uncultured bacterium
Lineage: Bacteria
Description: partial 16S ribosomal RNA
Rfam family: Bacterial small subunit ribosomal RNA
Source: RNAcentral
AAUGAACGCUGGCGGCAGGCCUAACACAUGCAAGUCGAACGGAUCCUUCGGGAUUAGUGGCGGACGGGUGAGUAACGCGUGGGAACAUACCCAAAGGUACGGAAUAGCCUCGGGAAACUGGGAGUAAUACCGUAUGUGCUCGAAAGAGGAAAGAUUUAUCGCCUUUGGAUUGGCCCGCGUUGGAUAGGUAGUUGGUGGGGUAAUGGCCUACCAAGCCGACGAUCCAUAGCUGGUUUGAGAGGAUGAUCAGCCACACUGGGACUGAGACACGGCCAGGACUCCUACGGGGGGCAGCAGUGGGGAGUCUUAGACAAUGGGGGAAACCCUGAUCUAGCCAUGCCGCGUGAUCGAUGAAGGCUUUAGGGUUGUAAAGAUCUUUCAGGUGGGAAGAUAAUGCCGGUACCACCAGAAGAAGCCCCGGCUAACUCCGUGCCAGCAGCCGCCGUAA